This 473-nucleotide ribosomal RNA is filed under the name uncultured organism. Its description in RNAcentral is "partial 16S ribosomal RNA". It matches the Rfam family "Bacterial small subunit ribosomal RNA", at positions 335 to 800 of the family's 1533-position model. The record is from RNAcentral.
ACUCCUACGGGAGGCAGCAGUAGGGAAUCUUCCACAAUGGGUGCAAACCUGAUGGAGCAAUGCCGCGUGAGUGAAGAAGGUCUUCGGAUCGUAAAGCUCUGUUGUUAGAGAAGAACACGUGCUAGGUAACUACUAGCGCCUUGACGGUAUCUAACCAGAAAGUCACGGCUAACUACGUGCCAGCAGCCGCGGUAAUACGUAGGUGACAAGCGUUGUCCGGAUUUAUUGGGCGUAAAGGGAGCGCAGGCGGUCUGUUUAGUCUAAUGUGAAAGCCCACGGCUUAACCGUGGAACGGCAUUGGAAACUGACAGACUUGAAUGUAGAAGAGGAAAAUGGAAUUCCAAGUGUAGCGGUGGAAUGCGUAGAUAUUUGGAGGAACACCAGUGGCGAAGGCGAUUUUCUGGUCUAACAUUGACGCUGAGGCUCGAAAGCGUGGGGAGCGAACAGGAUUAGAUACCCGGGUAGUCCCAUGA